GAACCAUAUACAUCUGUAAAUGCAACUCCUUCGUUGUUCGAUGAUCGUUUUAUUGAUGUUCAUUCGUUACUGUGGAGGUGCAAGAGAACGAGGACGACAUAUAAAAAAGGUUCCUCUGUACGAUGCCGUGAUGUCAUGUUAGUUACCUGUUUACCCGGAACUGAGUAGUUACCAUAGUUCAGGAAAUGUGAAACUUAAUCAGAUUCAGAGAGAUUAUGUUGCUUCGUAAGACGACGGUCAUGACGUUGGUCAUCACACGUGGAGUUGCACGCGACGGGGUAUUACCAUCACGUGUUUGAAAGUGAACUUGACGAUCACGGGGUAUUACCAUCACGGGGUAUUGCCAUCACCGUAACUUGUACUUGAGUAUGACGAUCCUUGCUUACUCGCUUUACAUCACACUUCUAAAGAUGUCGAUGGGACAUAAUAUAUAUAACAGGACCCGUGGUCGAACUUCAACGUUUCGUCUGUUCAUCUUCACUCUACUCGAGGUCCGUGGGUGUCGAAGUGAAGUAGGACGACGACGAGUGUAUGAUGGCGGGGUGGAUGUUGCGUCGGUUUCCGUCGUUACCCUAAUGUCAGGUCACGGAGGGACUAGUCCGAAACAGAGAUGAAGUCGACUUCGUGAGGAAGGUGUUGGGGCUGGAGAGGAGCACCGUCGUACCAUGCCUGACAACGGUGACCCUCCCACAACCGACGCUGUCCCGGAGACCAGUCCACUAGUGAAACCUGGAUUCAAUAGCAUCGGACGUCUCGUGGCCACCAGAGUCGAGUCGCGAUAAGUUGGAGUGGAGAGAAUCUUCGGAUUCGGAGAGACCAUUGCUGAAGUUGGUACGGUCGGAAGGAUCAAAGCCCAAACUCGCCGACUGGCUCAAUGAGUCAGAGCUCAACAGACUUUGUCCCAACAGACCAGUCUAUGGAUAACCUUAACGCGUGGAGCUCUUUAACGAAUGCGAACUAUAAAGGAUGUUACUAAUAAACAUAGAAGCUCUCGGUGUCAAAGUUUGUGAGCAUCGUUUGGACUGGUUAGAAUCCCUAGACAUAGAAUUACUUCACCUGUAGAGGUCGUCACCUGGUUGAACCAGGCAACGAUAACGCCUGAGACAAGGAGAUGACGUCUUAGAACUGAACAGACCUACGCUAGAUAGACCAGUAUAGGUAGUAAGUAAGAGGGCUGAGGUAAAAGAUCGUUGUUAGUUGGAGUCCCGUUUAUCAUAAAGACUCUAAGGAAGUAAGAAGCGUCUUAAGAGAAAGAAUUGGAGAAAACAGAAGAGUCGUUUAAUAAACGUUCCUGUCAAAGGUUGUUUCUAGAAGGACGAUUUUUUAGAGUGUAUAGAACUACACAGGAUGUUGGGGUCUGAAAGGCACGUUGAUGGUCUAAAGGGUGGUCCUUUUUUAUAAAACCUUGUGAAUCUAGAUCUCCUCUGUUUGGAAAGAUCACACUACGGUCUGAGAAAACAAGUAGAGUUCAGUGACUUUAAGAACCCGGAAUCGUUGUAUCCUAGAGGGUCCGUCUGCAAAUGAAGGUAACGAUUGGAAUGUAGGGAUUUAUGUAACACCGACAGCCCUAGUCCUUAUCUCUUCGGUUACGAGAGAAGCUAACCGUCGCGAUCCGUAUACUGUCUGAACUACGAUGUUCUGAUAUUAAAUAGACCCGGUUAGGGCAACACCUAGUCUUUAACAUGUUUAAACUACUCGAAUCUCGAGUAACUAACGUUAAAUAGACCCCGUUAUGGGUGCACCUAACCCUUGAACUGGUUCGAAUGUUUAAACCCGAAUGUUCUAUUAUCCGACUCGCCAUUCCGUCGGAGGAAGGAAGAGUAUAGUGUAGUAAUAUUGUAAUAAAAAACCCCCAUAAAUGAUAAGAAACUGAUGAUAAGAGAUAGACGUACGUCCUUUUUAGGGUUUCCAAAACAAGUGAGAAGGCAGUAACCCUUUUGAUUUAAAUAAUAGUUUACUUGAUACACCAUGGGAUCUUCUAUAAGGUCUGGGGAAUAGAAGGAAGGACAUGAUGUAGCUGUAUUCGAGAUUGUUGAACAGUUCAGUAUAUGGGUUUAGAAAGAAACUAGAAUACUCUGAAGUUCAAGAGUACGAACUGAGUUUAGUGAAACUUCCGUGUCACCUUGAAUCGGAAGAAACCUUCCACUUCCGUAACCUAUAUAACGACGAGAGGUUAUUAUACAAUAGUCAGUAUCUACAACUCCUACCGAUAGGUAAAGGAAUAUAGGGUGUGUAGUGUUCUGAUCCUGAUCGCAGAACGAUGGAAUGUUUUUAAGGUCAGCGUAACUCUAUAUGUUUACUCAACAAAAACAACCUGGAAAGUGUAUUGGUUUAUCUACCUCGGUAUGGUUCAACCUAGACCCACUUAACCUUCCUAUGGUACAGGACCGACCUGGAGAGUUUGUUAUACAAGUGAUCGGAACUUUUGAGAGGUAGACAGCAAGUAUACGUGUUAAAUCCUAUAGAGUUAGAAUCAAGGUUGUUUGACGUACCGUCACAUGGAUAUGGUGAGUGUCGAUCGUUAAGGUACCGAAAAAAUCUAAUGAGUUUGUUAUCGAAGUGAAGAUAAUAUGUACUGAAACCAGCCAUGGAAGGGAUGUUCUGGUGGAUGGAACUAAACAGGUCCUUAUUUAAUUCACCAGUGUAUGGUUCCAGAUAAACAUGGGUUGUUCUAGAACUCUAUGACCUGAAUAGUAUGUUGUUAAAGUCGCCACACCACGGUAGGACAGAUUACGUUCCAUCGUUAUCGAACUCAUGUAACUUUAACUCUCUCUUAGCAAAGGUACCCUACGACGGACUUUUAUAACCUCUUCCUACAUACGAAGUCUGUUAUCUAAACUUGUUGUUAGAUUAACUUCCCUUUUAUGGGUCUAGUGAUAGUUUAACGGUUCCGGAUCUUGAGAAACUACAACCAUUGUUAGUUUAAUAGCCAAGAAAAGGUAGAACCAACCCACAAGAAGGUGCAGAAGCUCAAGAACAGAACUCUAAGUUGGUUGAUUUGCCGUGGUAUUCCCUAAAAUUUCCGCUAGUAUGUUAGUUGUUGAUGAAACGUUUAAACGUUUAUGAACUAAACCGGAGGUUGUUGAAGAGACCUUUGGAUGGUCUUCCUACCAAAUUACUUGACUUUCGUUACUACCUUUUACAGUCACUACCCCCUCUUCAAGAUCCUGUACUCUGUAUAAGUCCACGUGCUAAAAUAGUUCUAUGACAAUGGUAUUGUAAGUUUCCCAAACUAGAAUCAAAGUGGUUUUAGAAUUCGUGAAAGUUACGUUAUCUAAAGAGUUUAUUGAGUAAACUACCAGGACAAGGCCUCAGUUAACCCUCCGAACAACGGGACGCGCCUGAAUUGUACAGUAUGUUGUUGAAGUACCCUGUUUAAGGUAAAGUCAUGUCUUUGAACAGAGUCGACCUUCGUUACCUAGAGAGAACCUUGGUCUAUUGUCCCCUUUAUGGUGUCCUCAAUUGGAGUGAAUGAAGAGAACUUACCAACUUAGAAAGCAUGUUGUUGAACAUACCUUCUUAGGGCGUUCCUUUGGUCAAGAGUUGUAAAAGUCUGUCAAGUAAACUUCCAUUACGUCCGGAGACACCUCAAGGUGAGAGGUUUGUGACACUGUUAGUUUCAAGUUAAAGAGGUUGACCUCACCGAGAAGGCCUUAGACUCCCAAACACCGUCCUGUUUGAGCCACAAUAGGAAAACAAGCGUAAACAACCGAACCCUAAACCUCAGCCGAAACGUAACAGUAAGAACAACGCUGACAUAACGGCGUACCUUCCUACCUAGACGUUCGUUCGUACUUAGGUAUACAUUAUUAUCUCGUGAAAAUGAUACAUGACAUAAGUCAAAAGAAGGACUUUUUUGUAUACGGCACACGUAUACCCAACAUGUAAAAAACUCCUACGUAUACCCAACAUGAACAAUCUACUCUGUCGAAUUUAUUCGGUGAAAAGACACCGUCUUCAAUUAAUCGACGAAGGAAAGCAACGUAACCUAACGGUUGUCACUAGUUGGAAUACCAUAUAUGUUAAUAAUGUGUAUUA
This 4038-nucleotide ribosomal RNA is filed under the name Triticum aestivum (bread wheat). RNAcentral's name for it is "partial small subunit ribosomal RNA". Lineage: Eukaryota; Viridiplantae; Streptophyta; Magnoliopsida; Poales; Poaceae. The record is from RNAcentral.